RNAcentral lists this long non-coding RNA (736 nucleotides) under Dermacentor andersoni. RNAcentral describes it as "uncharacterized LOC126527167". Lineage: Eukaryota; Metazoa; Arthropoda; Arachnida; Ixodida; Ixodidae. The record is from RNAcentral.
ACAAUGACAACAAAAGCAACAACACACAGGUGCACAAGAACAUCGCAAGAAGAAGAAGAAAAAAAAAAAGGAAGGCUCCCCUAUGUAUCACUGCGCCUCGUGUAUGUUUACAAACAGGCAGCUAAUCUGCAUAUCAGAGAACCGUGUUUCCUUCGCUCUUGAUGCGCGCACAGUUACGGCCUCUGCGCCACGCGCCGCACUUUCGCACGUACUCCUCCCCCCCCCCCCCCCCCAUCCCCCCGUCGGGUCACCCUUCGGGCACCACGGAGACGUUGUAUAUUUAGAUUGGCGUACGCUGCCGGAGGAGUCAUCGGCAAUGCCCUUAUCGGCAAGAGCGCUGCAGUCAAGGCAAUUCUCCUCCUCGAGGGAUCCUUAUCUCCCCCCGCUCGUAUAUUGAGGGGUGAUAAGUGACGGCGUACGAGGUACGCGGCCCUUUCAAGUUCAACGGAGACGGGAAAAGCCGCGGACGCGCACUCCCUUGGCGGCGGCGUUUACAAGCGGCCUUCCGAGAAAGCGUAAACCGGCGUACAAACUCCUCGGCGCGGCGGGAAAUUGAUGGUAACAGAAAGCAGGGAAGUCUGUCUGACAUAAGGCGCAAAACCACUUCGGAGGGAGAUCUCGGAACUUAGGUGCAGGUAAUUCCUUCGCUUCUCUUCCACGCUUCGAAGCCUUCGGCUGCUUGGAGCAGUGGGUGACGAGUUCGGUCGGUACAGUGGUCGCAUACACAGCUGGCGUU